GGUCGCAGGUUCGAAUCCUGCACGACCCACCAAUUUAACAUCAAACUCAGAUGUUGAACGUGAAGGAUAACGUUGCGUCAGCAACGGCCCGUAGGGCAGGGCGAAGCCGAGUCAUCCUGCACGACCCACCA
RNAcentral lists this small RNA (131 nucleotides) under Salmonella enterica. Its description in RNAcentral is "partial RtT sRNA". It matches the Rfam family "RtT RNA", at positions 34 to 130 of the family's 130-position model. From Rfam's summary of the family: This family represents a bacterial cis-regulatory element known as RtT RNA. The exact function of RtT is unknown although it is thought that it may be involved in changing the cellular response in relation to amino acid starvation. Lineage: Bacteria; Pseudomonadati; Pseudomonadota; Gammaproteobacteria; Enterobacterales; Enterobacteriaceae. RNAcentral also lists the same sequence under 1 other name. The record is from RNAcentral.